UCUAUAAGAAACCACAUUCCAUUGGUACGUGGUUUCUUAUAGGUUGAAAUUUGUGCUGUGCUAUUUCUAUCGCUAUUGCCUCGCAUUGUGUCUCAGGCUUUACUUUAUCUUUACUGGAAUUCUAAAGUACAAUAUUAGAGAACUGUGUUUUCAUUGACAUUAUUAAUAACUUUUCAUUUCUCUAUUCACUGCAGUCCUCCAAGAAAUUAGACAAAGCAUUACCUUCGCGUCUAUUCAUCCGCUUCUCCUCAUUUUCAUGCCUCGCCUUGGAAUGUCGGAACCACUCCAUAACUCGUCGUUGUAUUUUUCUCUGGUCGGAAUCCGGGAUAUUGUGAAUUUCUGCAGUGGUUCCUUUCCGCGUCGGCCUUCCCAGUUAUAUCUCUCCGCCAAUUUAUUGGAGAAUACUUUAUACAAUGUUCUCUUUACGGCAUCAUCGACACUUGUCCCUCCGAUGGAUUUGAUAUAUCCGCGCUAUAAAAUAAAAAGUGUUAUGUUGGGAAUUUGACGCUUUCAAGAUCUCCUCAACUUCCGCUAACUGAACUACGGUUUGCAAGGGAAACCGGUUUUCAGCGCCCUCAAAGGAAAUUUGUGUUCUCUCACAUUCUGUGUCUUUAUUAAUUUUGUCCACUAUGAUGUCUACUAAGGGCUGUUAUGCGAAUAUUCAUUGUCUGACCGACCAUGGGCAUGUAUCAAGCCAUCUCGAGUUUUCUCUCUUGGAGCAAUAAUAGUACGCGGCAUAUGUUCCUCAGCAUCUGUUUCACAUGAAGCACCGAAAUCAUCUCCAUUCCUAUCUUCAUUAAUAGGCGAAGCUGUAGAGAACAAAAUUAAUCGCAUUGGAAGAUGUCGAAUCAAGGCUUUGUCGUCGCAGAAUUCCCGGAUGGUAUUCAAGUAAUACCAAAAAUUUGGUUGCAAAAUAAAGAUAAAUGCAAAUAUCCCUCGCAUUUUAAGACGGAUAUAAAAAUCCGAAAAGCGGUAGAGAAACAGGAGAUACCAAAGUUUGAUUGGCCCGCAUUAGAAGUUAUAAGAAUUUUUGGCGAAUAUUCGUCCUUACAGAAGGCUUAUGCGAAGGCAGAGAAAGCUUUAUACACGUCAGAUAUGGACACGGAAAAGGAAGCAAAAUAUUACCGAAAACAUAGAGCGAGAAAAAUUUACUCUUCGUCGGAAAGCGAAGAAGAGUCUGGUGUAAAUUUGCCACCUGCUCCAUGUCCUCCUGCAAAACGUAACGUUAUAAGCAUUUUCAUUGCGCGCGCCCGCGUGUGUGUGUGUAUAUACAUACACACACACGCAUUCAAUGUAUAU
Molecule: non-coding RNA, 1299 nt
Organism: Nylanderia fulva
Lineage: Eukaryota; Metazoa; Arthropoda; Insecta; Hymenoptera; Formicidae
Source: RefSeq, a predicted model, not a curated record